GAUGAACGCUGGCGGCGUGCCUAAUACAUGCAAGUCGAGCGAACAGAUGAGAAGCUUGCUUCUCUGAUGUUAGCGGCGGACGGGUGAGUAACACGUGGGUAACCUACCUAUAAGACUGGGAUAACUCCGGGAAACCGGGGCUAAUACCGGAUAAUAUUUUGAACCGCAUGGUUCAAUAGUGAAAGACGGUUUCGGCUGUCACUUAUAGAUGGACCCGCGCCGUAUUAGCUAGUUGGUAAGGUAACGGCUUACCAAGGCGACGAUACGUAGCCGAACUGAGAGGGUGAGCGACCACACUGGAACUGAGAGACGGUCCAGACGCCGACGGGAGGCAGCAGGAGGGAAUCUUCCGCAAUGGGCGAAAGCCUGACAGAGCAACGCCGCGUGAGUGAUGAAGGUCUUCGGAUCGUAAAACUCUGCUGUUAGGGAAGAACAAAUUUGUUAGUAACUGAACAAGUCUUGACGGUACCUAACCAGAAAGCCACGGCUAACUACGUGCCAGCCGCCGCGGUAA
RNAcentral lists this ribosomal RNA (514 nucleotides) under uncultured bacterium. RNAcentral's name for it is "partial 16S ribosomal RNA". It matches the Rfam family "Bacterial small subunit ribosomal RNA", at positions 28 to 523 of the family's 1533-position model. The record is from RNAcentral.